RNAcentral lists this small nucleolar RNA (109 nucleotides) under Oryza sativa (Asian cultivated rice). RNAcentral describes it as "snoR1c small nucleolar RNA". It matches the Rfam family "Small nucleolar RNA snoR1". Rfam says of the family: snoR1 is a member of the C/D class of snoRNA which contain the C (UGAUGA) and D (CUGA) box motifs. Lineage: Eukaryota; Viridiplantae; Streptophyta; Magnoliopsida; Poales; Poaceae. The record is from RNAcentral.
GGAGCAGCUGUGAUGAGCAUUGCUUUCUUCUGACACCUCUUGUAUGAGAAGUGCUUCUCCCAGAGAAGCUCUUCGUUGAGCAGAGUAUAGCAAUUGUCUGAGCUCUCCU